RNAcentral lists this ribosomal RNA (500 nucleotides) under uncultured bacterium. RNAcentral's name for it is "partial 16S ribosomal RNA". It matches the Rfam family "Bacterial small subunit ribosomal RNA", at positions 30 to 523 of the family's 1533-position model. The record is from RNAcentral.
AUUGAACGCUGGCGGCAUGCCUUACACAUGCAAGUCGAACGGCAGCACGGGAGCAAUCCUGGUGGCGAGUGGCGAACGGGUGAGUAAUAUAUCGGAACGUGCCCCGUCGUGGGGGAUAACGUAGCGAAAGCUACGCUAAUACCGCAUACGAUCUAUGGAUGAAAGCGGGGGAUGGCAAGACCUCGCGCGAUUGGAGCGGCCGAUAUCAGAUUAGGUAGUUGGUGAGGUAAAGGCUCACCAAGCCGACGAUCUGUAGCUGGUCUGAGAGGACGACCAGCCACACUGGGACUGAGACACGGCCCAGACUCCUACGGGAGGCAGCAGUGGGGAAUUUUGGACAAUGGGCGCAAGCCUGAUCCAGCAAUGCCGCGUGCAGGAUGAAGGCCUUCGGGUUGUAAACUGCUUUUGUACGGAACGAAACGGCGAGCUCUAAUACAGUUUGCUAAUGACGGUACCGUAAGAAUAAGCACCGGCUAACUACGUGCCAGCCGCCGCAGUAA